UAAGCAGCACGGCAGAGCAGCCUGCACCGCACAGCGGUGUGGUUGUAUAACUCGUGUUUCACCUCAGCUGAACUUGACGCAUCUGGUUCAUCGGCGGCGCGAGUCGCACGGUGCAGUCUGCUGUGUGUCCCCACUGAACCGAGCUGGAUGGCCGGCCGAGAGAGACGCGGGGAAAGAAAGGGGGGGAAACGCAACACUUUCGUGGCAUAGAAGCGGGUCUCGGAGACCGAGUCUCGGGAUGACUCCUCCACAUCUCAGUCUGCAAAUAUCGUCCCUUUCUUGCUUUUUUUAUUUCCUGCUGUUUCGUGGCUCCAGACACAAAAAGGAAGACGAGUCACCGCGGGCUAAAGGAAAUAUAAAGCCGGCCGACUUGGACACGCCGGAGCAGACCAUCCAACUUGAACUUGAGACCAAUCGAUAUGCAGCCGGGCGGAUCGCGUCAAUCCAGCGGAAAAC
Oreochromis aureus is the source of this 456-nucleotide long non-coding RNA. Lineage: Eukaryota; Metazoa; Chordata; Actinopteri; Cichliformes; Cichlidae. The record is from Ensembl.